This 480-nucleotide ribosomal RNA is filed under the name Triticum aestivum (bread wheat). Its description in RNAcentral is "partial small subunit ribosomal RNA". The record is from RNAcentral. Lineage: Eukaryota; Viridiplantae; Streptophyta; Magnoliopsida; Poales; Poaceae.
AUGUUGAAAAUCAACAUCGAUGGGGCGUUUCAUAGUACCAGUGGGAGUGGGGGUUGGGGUUUCAUUAUCCGUGAUAGCGCUGGGGAUGCGCGCGGAGCAGGGACUGGAAAUUUUUUGCAUGCGAGCAGUGCAUUACAAACCGAAGCGGAAGCGUGUUUUAACGCAUUGGCGGCAGCGGCUGCAUGGGGUAUCUCCAACAUAGUGAUUGAAUCAGACUGUCAAAUCCUACUGAAGGCCCUGCAAAGUACAAGCUAUGAUCGAGCUCCUGAAGGCAUUCUAUACAGAGACAUUCGCCAGUUUAUUCGUCUUAGUUUUAAUAUCGUAAACUAUGUGUUUGCUCCUCGAGAUUGUAAUAAGGUUGCCCAUGCACUUGCUGCAUUGGGGAGUAAUGGCCAGGUACCUCACCGUCUGUGGAUGGAGGCUGUGCCUAACGAUGUAUGCGUGUUGGUGGCCAGCGAUGUCGCUGAGCCAGUUGAGUAA